GACGAACGCUGGCGGCGUGCUUAACACAUGCAAGUCGAACGCUGAAGCUCAGCUUGCUGGGUGGAUGAGUGGCGAACGGGUGAGUAACACGUGAGUAACCUGCCCUCUUCUUUGGGAUAACGCCCGGAAACGGGUGCUAAUACUGGAUAUUCACUGAUUCUCGCAUGGGGGUUGGUGGAAAGGUUUUUUCUGGUGGGGGAUGGGCUCGCGGCCUAUCAGCUUGUUGGUGGGGUGAUGGCCUACCAAGGCUUUGACGGGUAGCCGGCCUGAGAGGGUGACCGGUCACAUUGGGACUGAGAUACGGCCCAGACGCCUACGGGAGGCAGCAGUGGGGAAUAUUGCGCGAUGGGCGAAAGCCUGAUGCAGCGACGCGGCGUGAGGGAUGGAGGCCUUCGGGUUGUAAACCUCUUUCGCUCAUGGUCAAGCCGCAGCUUUGGGUUGUGGUGAGGGUAGUGGGUAAAGAAGCGCCGGCUAACUACGUG
RNAcentral lists this ribosomal RNA (482 nucleotides) under uncultured bacterium. RNAcentral describes it as "partial 16S ribosomal RNA". It matches the Rfam family "Bacterial small subunit ribosomal RNA", at positions 28 to 507 of the family's 1533-position model. The record is from RNAcentral.